AUACCCCUGCGGUGUACGAAACUCUGGUGUUCUUUUGACGAACCAAUGAGCACCCGCGGGGAACCAUCAUAACGGAUGGGGCUUGCAAGCCCACCUUGACCUAGGUCAUGGAGUGGGAUCCAAAAUCCUCUGUUGAGGUUCCCCCCUUAUUUGCGGGUUCUCAAAAGCACCUUAACGGCACAGGUGGGGGUUUU
RNAcentral lists this non-coding RNA (194 nucleotides) under Planctomycetota bacterium. RNAcentral describes it as "Planctomycetes bacterium 6S RNA". It matches the Rfam family "6S / SsrS RNA". Rfam says of the family: E. coli 6S RNA was the first non coding RNA to be sequenced, but its function was unknown until recently. It consists of 184 nucleotides that fold into an extended hairpin structure with a large single-stranded internal bulge. The 6S RNA specifically associates with RNA polymerase holoenzyme containing the sigma70 specificity factor. Lineage: Bacteria; Pseudomonadati; Planctomycetota. RNAcentral also lists the same sequence under 1 other name. The record is from RNAcentral.